UACGGAGGGUGCGAGCGUUAUUCGGAAUUACUGGGCGUAAAGCGCACGUAGGCGGUUAGGCAAGUCGGGUGUGAAAGCCCUGGGCUCAACCUGGGAAUUGCAUUCGAAACUAUCUGACUCGAGUAUGGGAGAGGGAAGCGGAAUUUCCGGUGUAGCGGUGAAAUGCGUAGAUAUCGGAAGGAACACCAGUGGCGAAGGCGGCUUCCUGGACUGAUACUGACGCUGAGGUGCGAAAGCGUGGGGAGCAAACAGG
RNAcentral lists this ribosomal RNA (253 nucleotides) under uncultured bacterium. RNAcentral's name for it is "partial 16S ribosomal RNA". It matches the Rfam family "Bacterial small subunit ribosomal RNA", at positions 524 to 776 of the family's 1533-position model. The record is from RNAcentral.